Molecule: non-coding RNA, 72 nt
Organism: Phrynosoma platyrhinos (Desert horned lizard)
Lineage: Eukaryota; Metazoa; Chordata; Lepidosauria; Squamata; Phrynosomatidae
Source: the annotation of a GenBank genome assembly
GCCAACCUAGCAUAGUGGUUUGAGUGUUGGACUAUAUCUCUGGAGACCGGGGUUCAAAUCCCAGCUGGGUCA